GGAAGCAAUAUGCAAUUAGUCAUGACAGGGAUCUUUACUGAUGACCUUAAUUAGGUGCAUGGAAUACUGAUGAGCUUAAUUAGGUGCAUGGGAUUCUUAAUGACAGUAAAUCCCAUUGGAAGAAAAGUUGUGCUAUGAAAAUUCUGAAAUUAUUUGGAGUUGUCUAACAAAAUAAGAGUUCUUGAAAAUAUUUGCUAAUAAGUUCCUUUUUAGUCUUGAGGCUGUUAGAAGUACAAAUAAAAUAGAUGAAAAGAGUGGAAUCUAUUUGGAUAUAUUAUUUAUUAAAACCUGUCCUUUGCUCAAUUGGUAAAUAUUUAUUCUGAUGGUCUGAUCUUUGUGGAGCUCCCACAUACCUGACUGUGUUUCCUGUCACAGCCUGGAGAUUAUGAAACAUUGCUGUUGUGCAGCUGCAGAUUAAUUCUUGGACAGAGUUUUCUGCUUCACUACCUCUUUUGUAGGUGCCAAAAAUAAUUGCUGAUUGUGCCAAGUUGUGUCUUUAUCACCUGUCAAAGAUCUCAGUGCACUGUCAUGUGGUAUCUAAACUGUUUUUUGCAUUUUGAGUUCAUCCAACAACGAAUAAAGAAAAGGAUAAAGAUGAGAGAAAAUGAAUUCUGGAGCAGCUGCAGAUUGUUUUCUGCCCAAAACUCUCUGAAAUAAGGUUGGACAUCCCUGUGAUUCACAUUUUGGAAGUAUUCUGACUCAUUGCAACUGAACCCUGUCAGAAAUGGAAGACUUGCAGGAGGUCCAGCAGAGAAGAUUGCCAACAUAGGCGUCUGUGCCAAGACAUUUCAGCUGGCAAAGACCAGGACACACAUCUAGUGCAUUUGCUACACAUGUUACAAUGGAAUCAUGGUCUACAAACAACAGAAAACACAAGCAUAUGAUGAGUUUAUAAACAAGAGUCUGUAAAUAUGUGUAUAAGGAUAAUUCAAAAGGUUUGUGGAAAAAUGGAAUUAAAAAUAUUUUGUUGCAAAAUAUUUUAGAAAUCAUUGCAUACAUAAUGUAUUUAAAAGUUCAUGGAAAAUGCAUGCUAUGAAAAAUUAUGCAUGGAUCCAAAAACUUUUGCUCAAAAAUUAUCUUUUAAUUUCAUUUUCCAAGAAUGUUUUUGAAGUCUCUUCACAUAUGUAGG
This 1129-nucleotide long non-coding RNA is filed under the name Oryctolagus cuniculus (rabbit). Its description in RNAcentral is "lncRNA (ENSOCUG00000035454.1)". Lineage: Eukaryota; Metazoa; Chordata; Mammalia; Lagomorpha; Leporidae. The record is from RNAcentral.